This is a transfer RNA of 77 nucleotides. It matches the Rfam family "tRNA". From Rfam's summary of the family: Transfer RNA (tRNA) molecules are approximately 80 nucleotides in length. Their secondary structure includes four short double-helical elements and three loops (D, anti-codon, and T loops).
GGGCGAUUAGCUCAGCUGGUUAGAGCGUUACAUUGACAUUGUAAAGGUCACAGGUUCGAGUCCUGUAUCGCCCACAA